Pantherophis guttatus is the source of this 2019-nucleotide non-coding RNA. The record is from RefSeq and is a predicted model, not a curated record. Lineage: Eukaryota; Metazoa; Chordata; Lepidosauria; Squamata; Colubridae.
AGUAGAGCCGGCAGCAGGAGGUUCCACCCUCCCCCUCCCCUCCAAGAUGUCAUCACGUUCUGUUUUUGACCCUCUGCUCAUACAUGGAGGAGGCACACAUGCUCACAUUUGCGAACCGGUAGCAAAGGUAUACAUCUGGAACUGCUGGAAGGCCUCGUGGUGAGACCUCUUAUACCCAGGGGGAAGAGUCAGAGACUAACUGCUCUCUAACCAUGAUUUUGAAAACUGGAAAAUAAAGGCCCAGAAGUAAAUGGAAAGCACAGGAGCACUCCAGAUUUCCUACUGCAGAGAAAUAAAGGAAGAUGAGGGUUGUUGGGUUGUUGUUUUUUUCAAACAAAAUAAAGCCAAACUCAGGAAGAGAAUAAGAAAAAGAAAAGCUACAGAGCUGGAAGCAAGAUAUGGAUUUGUUGCCAGAUUAAAACUUCUCUCCCUUCCUCCUUGUUUUUGAGGAAAGAAAUUCCUUCAGUUUUAUUCUACUGGCUUGCUAAAAGCCCUGAUGGAAAUGGAAUCCUGGAAGAUUGCAUGACACUGCAUGACAUGAGGAGCCUGAGUGGCGCAGCAGACUAAUGCUACUGUUAAAGGUAGUAUUUAGCUUCCAGCUGCCUGCAAUUACUGCGAGUUCAAUUCUCACCAGGCUCAAGGUUGACUCAGCCUUCCUUCCUUUCUAAGGCAUGACCUAAGUGGAGAGGAAGGUCUGCAGAGUUGCCUGAAGGAUAUAAUCAUAGCUCAGCCAUGAAUUUCUGGGACGAAAAUUCACAAGUCCAUUCCUAACUAUUACCUUCUCUGCAGUUGUGGCCAUAAGAGAAGCAGAAUCAUAAUCACUCAUGAAAAAAAAUCAUAAUCCAAUGAAAAUGAAACUUGGGCUUCCAGGUGGAACUCAGCUGCUAGUGAGACUUUGUUGCAAUUAGUACAAUUAAGGAUGAUAUUCAUAAUUUCAUUCAUUGACUUCUCCUGCCAUUGGGCCAUGUUCAGAUUUUUUUUAAAAAAAUGUUAUAUUUUCUGUUGAUUCAAUAACUAAGCUAUAACUAAAUUAACCAACAGGAAUUAACACAGGACAAGUGUGUCUUCUUACUAUAAUUUUCUGUGUUCUGAUGCACCUCUGCAAACUCAUUGGGGCCAAGUAGACAUGACUAAGUGUGCCUAAGAGGACUCGGGGAUCUCCACCUAAGUAUUCAGCAAAGGUUGGUUGGGAAGUUCUCUGCUUGAGAGGCUGCAAAUUUACUGCCUGGCAGACUUGGCAAUGUUGAUUAUGGGAUUAUCUUUGAGUAAGGGGUAAAUGUUCUGGCUUGAUAUAGUGCAAUUUUCUAGGAGCCUCGUCCUAGGAUUGUAAUAAAUGCUGACAGAAAGAGCAAAGAGAUGUAAUGUACAAAAAAAACCCCCUAAAAAUGUCAUUUGUCUGCCUUAAAACAAACUAUAGAAAGGCAAUUUAUUAAUACACCCACAAUAAGAGAAUAAAAUAGCAAUACCUUUCAUAUUCUCUUCAUGUACUUUUUAAUAAUCUGCUAAAGUAUAUCUCAGUUGAUUUUAAGAGACAGUAUGCAUAAUCACUAUAUUCAGUGAAUGUAUUAAUUCAGUUUCGGUUGUUAAGGUGCACCAAUUAGUUUUAUUAUUCAGAGCAUAGUUGCCAUUCUUCCUCAAACACUAAAAGGAAUAUAACCUGUUCAAAGGUGUGUAGCAAAGUUCUAUUACUCUUACAGUAUAAUUAUUCUCUUCAUUUGUUUUUUUAAUUCUUGAAAAUUAUUUUCUAUUUGUUGAAAAGAAUCAAUGAGUAGAGCUAUAGAGCAAAAUUAGUUCUGUAGAACUCUAAGCAUUUGCUGAAAAGCCAAAAAUUUGUUUUCUUUGUUAUGCCCACUGCUAACUUCCAGAUAAAACUACUGGACAGUUGUAGACUGAAUCUUACAUUUUCUCUGCUCUUCCUCCUUUUCUUCUUAAAUGAUUUUUAUGGAGGAAGAAUAUUAAUGGUGCUUAUGAUAUGGCUUGAUUAAAAACUUCAGAAACCUUAGUUGCUGAUGUUGCUAU